RNAcentral lists this ribosomal RNA (786 nucleotides) under uncultured sediment archaeon. Its description in RNAcentral is "bacterial SSU rRNA". It matches the Rfam family "Archaeal small subunit ribosomal RNA", at positions 569 to 1353 of the family's 1478-position model. The record is from RNAcentral.
GGCUGCCGAAAAAUACUGUAGAACUAGGGAGUGGGAGAGGUAGACGGUAUUCGGUAGGAAGGGGUAAAAUCCUUUGAUCUAUUGAGGACCACCUGUGGCGAAGGCGGUCUACCAGAACACGUUCGACGGUGAGGGAUGAAAGCUGGGGGAGCAAACCGGAUUAGAUACCCGGGUAGUCCCAGCUGUAAACGAUGCAGACUCGGUGAUGCCCUGGCUUGUGGCCAGUGCAGUGCCGCAGGGAAGCCGUUAAGUUUGCCGCCUGGGAAGUACGUACGCAAGUAUGAAACUUAAAGGAAUUGGCGGGGGAGCACCACAAGGGGUGAAGCCUGCGGUUCAAUUGGAGUCAACGCCAGAAAUCUUACCCGAAGAGACAGCAGAAUGAAGGUCAAGCUGGAGACUUUACCAGACAAGCUGAGAAGUGGUGCAUGGCCGUCGCCAGCUCGUGCCGUGAGAUGUCCUGUUAAGUCAGGUAACGAGCGAGAUCCCUGCCUCUAGUUGCCACCAUUACUCUCAGGAGUAGUGGGGCGAAUUAGCGGGACCGCCGCAGUUAAUGCGGAGGAAGGAAGGGGCCACGGCAGGUCAGUAUGCCCUGAAACUUUGGGGCCACACGCGGGCUGCAAUGGUAGCGACAAUGGGUUCCGAAUCCGAAAGGAGGAGGCAAUCCUCAAACGCUACCACAGUUAUGAUUGAGGGCUGCAACUCGCCCUCAUGAAUAUGGAAUCCCUAGUAACUGCGUGUCAUUACCGCGCAGUGAAUACGUCCCUGCUCCUUGCACACACCGCCCGU